RNAcentral lists this transfer RNA (77 nucleotides) under Citrobacter phage Mijalis. RNAcentral describes it as "tRNA-His". Lineage: Duplodnaviria; Heunggongvirae; Uroviricota; Caudoviricetes; Andersonviridae. The record is from RNAcentral.
AUUCCCGUAGGUCACCCCAAUUCAAUAGCUCAAUUAGCUUAUAUGGUUAAAGCGCGUGUCUGAAAAACAUGAGAACA